This is a small nuclear RNA of Amblyraja radiata (thorny skate), 103 nucleotides long. The record is from RefSeq and is a predicted model, not a curated record. Lineage: Eukaryota; Metazoa; Chordata; Chondrichthyes; Rajiformes; Rajidae.
GCGCUACAGUAGCACAUUUACUGACAGUGGAACGAUACAGAGAAGAUUCACACGGUCCCAGCGCGAGGAUGAUGAAUAAAUCUGCGAAGGAUUCCGUAUAUUU